This 119-nucleotide ribosomal RNA is filed under the name Lepisosteus oculatus (spotted gar). Lineage: Eukaryota; Metazoa; Chordata; Actinopteri; Semionotiformes; Lepisosteidae. The record is from RNAcentral.
GCCAGCAGGCAUAUCACCCUGCAACUCACAGCUAGCAACCCACUGAAGCCAAGCAGGUGUGAGCCUGCUCAGUACCUGGAUGGGAGACCUCCUGGGAAAAACGAAGGUUUCUGCCAGAA